AGAGUUUGAUCCUGGCUCAGAGCGAACGCUGGCGGCAGGCCUAACACAUGCAAGUCGAACGAACUCUUCGGAGUUAGUGGCGGACGGGUGAGUAACACGUGGGUAAUCUACCUUCGGGACUGGAAUAACCCAGGGAAACUUGGGCUAAUGCCAGAUAAGACCACGCGGCGAGAGUCGCGUGGGAAAAGCGGAGGACCUCUUCGGAGGCUUCGUACCUGAAGAUGAGCCCGCGGCCCAUCAGGUAGUUGGCGGGGUAAUGGCCCACCAAGCCGACGACGGGUAGCUGGUCUGAGAGGACGAUCAGCCACACUGGAACUGAGACACGGUCCAGACUCCUACGGGAGGCAGCAGUGGGGAAUUUUGCGCAAUGGGCGAAAGCCUGACGCAGCAACGCCGCGUGAGUGAUGAAGGUCUUCGGAUCGUAAAGCUCUGUCGGCAGGAAAGAUGGGUAACGUGGCCAAUAUCCACGAGACCUGACGGUACCUGCAAAGGAAGCACCGGCUAACUCUGUGCCAGCAGCCGCGGUAAGACAGAGGGUGCUAGCGUUGUUCGGAAUUAUUGGGCGUAAAGGGCGCGUAGGCGGCGUCGUAAGUCACGUGUGAAAUCCCAGGGCUUAACCCUGGAAGUGCGCGUGAUACUGCGAUGCUUGAGUCCCGGAGAGGGUGGUGGAAUUCCCAGUGUAGAGGUGAAAUUCGUAGAUAUUGGGAGGAAUACCGGUGGCGAAGGCGACCACCUGGACGGUGACUGACGCUGAGGCGCGAAAGCGUGGGGGGCAAACAGGAUUAGAUACCCUGGUAGUCC
Molecule: ribosomal RNA, 801 nt
Filed under: uncultured bacterium
Lineage: Bacteria
Description: bacterial SSU rRNA
Rfam family: Bacterial small subunit ribosomal RNA
Source: RNAcentral